UUUUUUGUUAUUGUUUUUGUUUGUCUAUGUUAAAUUUCGGCGUUAAUACAGGAAUCUAUUGUUGCCUAUUAAGUCUGAAUCUAUUGAAUUAAUCAUCUAGUGUUGGUUUGUUCUUUCCUGUGGAACUGUGAGUGUAAUUAUUAGGGGAAUUGUUGUUCGUACUUCGUUUAUGAUUUUUCUGUGUAAUUUUUGUAGCUUCUGUUUUGGAAAAAGGUUAAUGCGGUGUCUGGUUCUAGAGAUUUUGUUGUUUCUUUUUAUGAAAAGUAUCAGAUAGCCCGUGAAAUCUUUUCCUAAUUUGAAACAACAUUGAUGCCUGUUCUUCUCUUUAUAUGGCUUCCAAGUUUGGCUUUUCUGAUUUAGAUCACCUUUUGCAGGAUAGCUUUGGUCAAUUUAUCAUGUGUUUCUGUUUAUCCAUUGUUCUCUCAUGAGUCGUGACCAUUGAAUGAAUUGAGCUGAUUAAAUGACCGCAUUCUUGUUGGUUUGGCUCCAGAAGGAUCCCAUUUUGAAUUCCACCAUUAUGAUGCUGAAAUGAAUGAGAAAAUUAAUGGCGGGAGAUUCUAAAUAUUUUGAAGAAACCCAUUACGCAGAACCAGAAGCGAAUUCUCAGUCUCCAGCGAAGAAAAAGAAGAAGAGUGAAAAGAAGAAGAAACGAGUUCCACCUGUGAAUACAAAAAUCCAAGUCCUCAGCAACCAUCCUGAGAAGAUUCCACCAUUAGUUGGUUAUUUCCCCUCUGGGUAUGAUCCUAACAAGGAUCCCAAUGAGGAAGCGGUCGAGGAACAAAAUUCUGUAAGGGCUAAGGUUUAUAGGCACAAGAAAAAACCAAAUAGGAUGCAGCUGGUUGUAAGUCCAACAGGGUUGAAUGUGGAUUUUGUUGGUACCAAUUACUUGGGUGAGGCUACUGCUGGAAAACAACAUUGCAGCUAUGCUCUCGGUGUUCUUGAUAAGGCAACCCAAAGCUUAAAGAUUGUGCCUAUUGCAUCAAAUAUGAUAUUUAGAUUGGAUCCUAAAGUUAGAGGUUCAGAUGUUCCUGAAAGUGAAUCCCCAAGUGUGGCGAACGACGAGCUCUCUGUGCAGGAGAAAGCUGAUAGAAUGAGAGAGCUCAGCAAUCUCUAUGGAACGAAGAAGUCGAUAAAACAGGCAAAGAAGCUGCUUUCUUUGAAGCAAGAGGAUGAUCCUGAGACCAAGAAGGAUCUAGAUGGGAAAAUGAAAAAUGUUGUGGUAAACAAAGAGGCGUUGGAAAGUUCGAAUGCACAAAUUUCUCGUAAUAUACCGACAUAUAAUGCUUCUGCAACGACUCCACAAGAAGCUUACCCCCUCGACAAGAUUAUCCUCAAGGGAGAAUGGGGUUUCCUGGAAGAUCUUUAUUUCCUUUUGCAAGCAGAAUCUGAAAUAAGUGCCAAUUAUCCAGCCUUUGUCCGCAACAGAAUUUAUAAAUUGCAAGACAUUCAGGAUGAGGAAGAGAAAAAGAAGCUCUGCUGCAUAUAUUCAUACAUCACUCAUCUAAUAAAGUAUAAGGAUCAGCAUUCUAUGGAUGGCGUUUCUUCUGUUAAGGGCCAUAAAAUUCCUAGCAUGCUACGACAAAAGUUCUCAUCCAUGUUUUCAACUACGGAGUCGAGAAGACUGUCAGCAGAGAAAACCGAUCUUCUCAUUAGCCACGUUUUGGUGCUCGCGUUAUUCGCCGAUGAAUUCAGCAGCGAUCCAUCUGACAUAGCAAGGGAUCUGAGAACUAGUCCUUUCACUCUAAGAGUCCAUUAUGACAAUCUGGGUUGCAAGUUUAUACGCAAGAACAACUUGUCAUUGGUUACGCUUCCUGUCCCGCUUCAAUUUCCCGAGUUGAGGCAAAAGAGACGACGAUAAGCAAGAUGGUUAGAUUGUAGUAGUUACACUGUUGUUGUAAUUUAAAGAAGUUGAAUUCUGUACAGGAAAAGGUUGAGCAGUUUUGUUGAGUAAAACGGCUCUGUGGCAUAGAAUGGCGUUUUCUUAUUUGGAAGUUGGAACUUUGGAUGGUGAAGCUUAAUCAGACAGAGUCAAAUGAUGAGGUUUCGUUUCUUCUUCCUACCCGUGAUUUAGUUUUUGACUUUCGAUCGAGAUUAUGAUCAUGUCUUGUUUUUUUUUAGAGAUUUGAAUCAUUCAAUUUCUUGGUCGAGAGUUUGUGUUUUAGUCCUUAUUAUAUGAGUCGGUGUUCGGUUGAGUUUAACGAACUUAUUUUCAUUUCUCCUUAUGACAAUUUACUGUAUUUUGUAAA
Non-coding RNA from Cucurbita pepo subsp. pepo (vegetable marrow), 2246 nucleotides. Lineage: Eukaryota; Viridiplantae; Streptophyta; Magnoliopsida; Cucurbitales; Cucurbitaceae. The record is from RefSeq and is a predicted model, not a curated record.